CAAAGGCUUGGUCCUGACUUUACUAUCAGCUCUAACUGAACUUACACAUGCAAGUCUCCGCAUUCCUGUGAGGAUGCCCUUAAUCCCCUGCCCGGGGACGAGGAGCCGGUAUCAGGCACGCCCAGGCAGCCCACGACGCCUUGCUAAGCCACACCCCCAAGGAAACUCAGCAGUGAUAAAUAUUAAGCCAUAAGCGAAAGCUUGACUUAGUUAAGGUUAAGAGGGCCGGUAAAACUCGUGCCAGCCACCGCGGUUAUACGAGAGGCCCUAGUUGAUAACUACCGGCGUAAAGAGUGGUUAUGGAAGAUACUUGAUAAAGCCGAACACUCCCUCAGCCGUCAUACGCACCUGGAAGCACGAAGACCUACUGCGAAAGCAGCUUUAAUUAUGCCUGACCCCACGACAGCUAAGAAACA
RNAcentral lists this ribosomal RNA (416 nucleotides) under Oncorhynchus masou ishikawae (Ishikawa's cherry salmon). Its description in RNAcentral is "partial 12S ribosomal RNA". It matches the Rfam family "Bacterial small subunit ribosomal RNA", at positions 7 to 769 of the family's 1533-position model. Lineage: Eukaryota; Metazoa; Chordata; Actinopteri; Salmoniformes; Salmonidae. The record is from RNAcentral.